Molecule: ribosomal RNA, 1653 nt
Filed under: Sekerana stolzi
Lineage: Eukaryota; Metazoa; Platyhelminthes; Rhabdocoela; Koinocystididae
Description: eukaryotic LSU rRNA
Rfam family: Eukaryotic large subunit ribosomal RNA
Source: RNAcentral
AGCAUAUCAUUAAGCGGAGGAAAAGAAACUAACAAGGAUUUCCUUAGUAGCGGCGAGCGAACAGGAAUUAGCCCAAAACCGAAUCCUGCAGAUUCAUCUGCUAGGAAAUGUGGUGUUUGGUUCAAUCCCUACGGCACAUUGGAGUUGUUCUAAGUCCACGUGAUUGUGGCAUCAAUCCCAAAGAGGGUGUAAGGCCCGUCUGAACAAUACAGUGUGUCCAAGGGUUGUUCCUAGAGUCGGGUUGUUUGGGAAUGCAGCCCAAAUCGGGUGGUAAACUCCAUCCAAGGCUAAAUACAACACGAGUCCGAUAGCGAACAAGUACCAUGAGGGAAAGUUGAAAAGAACUUUGAAGAGAGAGUUCAAUAGUGCGUGAAACCGCUCGGAGGUAAACAGGCAGAGCUGAAGAUAGUUUUGCGUAGUGAAGUUUUACUUAUGCUGUUCUUUGUUUAAUCGAUCCUUGGGGCGGUUAACAGGGAGCGUGUAUAUGAAUUGCUUUGUUGCGCUUGACUAACACCAUGACCAGUAGUUAAAGAGGCUUGCCGUCUGUGGAAGGUAGCUCUAAACUUGUUUGGAGUGUUACAGCAGCGGAUUGCAACGCCUUUUGAGUACUGUUGUGCAAUGUGCCAUUGAGGCGUCACAUGGUUUUUUUGUCGGGGUACGGGUGUUGCUAAUCCUUUAAAGAUUUCGCAAUAUCUGCACCUCUUCAGAUCAGUCCUCUGUGAUUCUCAUUGUAGUUGUGGUGAAACUGUAGGCAUCUGCCUGACCCGUCUUGAAACACGGACCAAGGAGUUUAGCACAUACGCGAGUCAUAGGGUUUUACGAAACCUGAAGGCGCAGUGAAAGUAAAGACUUGCCUUGUGUAAGUUAAGGUAGGAUCCUAGCUACAAUGCGUUUACGCAUGUGUUAGGCGCACUACCAGCUCGUCUCAUGCUUUUCAAGUGAGGCGAAGCAAGAGCGCAUGUGCUGAGACCCGAAAGAUGGUGAACUAUGCUUGUGUAGGUUGAAGCCAGAGGAAACUCUGGUGGAGGACCGUAGCGAUUCUGACGUGCAAAUCGAUCGUCAAACAUGAGUAUAGGGGCGAAAGACUAAUCGAACCAUCUAGUAGCUGGUUCCCUUCGAAGUUUCCCUCAGGAUAGCUGGUACUCGGGAAUCAAGCAGUUUUAUCCGGUAAAGCGAAUGAUUAGCAGUAUUGGGGAUGAAAUAUCCUCAACUGAUUCUCAAACUUUAAAUGGGUGAGAAGCUCUACUCUCUUAAAUAUGGAGUAGAGCAUUGAAUGUGAGUGCCAAGUGGGCCAUUUUUGGUAAGCAGAACUGGCGCUGUGGGAUGAACCAAACGUCUGGUUACGGAGCCAAACAUGACGCUCAUGAGAAACCACAAAAGGUGUUGGUUGAUUUUGACAGCAGGACGGUGGCCAUGGAAGUCGGAAUCCGCUAAGGAGUGUGUAACAACUCACCUGCCGAAUCAACCAGCCCUGAAAAUGGAUGGCGCUAGAGCGUUGGUCCUAUACCAGACCGUUACCACAAAUGCACGGUAUGUGGUAACGAGUAGAAGGGCGCUGUGGUAAGCAUUGAAGCUUCGGUCGUGAGACUGGGUGGAGCUGUCACGGGUGCAGAUCUUGGUGGUAGUAGCAAAUAUUCAAGUGUGAACCUUGAA